This 22663-nucleotide long non-coding RNA is filed under the name Nicotiana tabacum (common tobacco). RNAcentral's name for it is "long non-coding RNA (NTAB_LNC000818)". Lineage: Eukaryota; Viridiplantae; Streptophyta; Magnoliopsida; Solanales; Solanaceae. The record is from RNAcentral.
AUGGUUCCACUUUUAUCCCACAUAACCUUUUUCUUUUCCUUUUAUCUAAAAAAAUCUAGAGUCGUUGAUCUAAGCGAUCCAACGGCUCCCCUUCCACCUCUCGUUUUAACUAACCUAUCCCACCCGAAACCCUAAUAAUUCUCAGCACAUAUCGACCGGCCUUUCUUUCCUCUUCCUCUCUCAUUUCUCUCUUUUUCUCAGACCCCAUAAAUCUCUGGAACCUUGCAGUAAUCCGUACAAGUUCAUACAAAAUCAACCCCAGUAUUAAUCAUGUCCCUCUUCCAACCGCGAAUGUCGCCGAUGUUUCCUUUUUUCGCACCUUAAUUUUAAUCCCAACCACCGAAACCCUAUAUCAAAGAAUGAAAGAACGAGAAUAUAAUCAUUUCACUUUGUGCUCGUUCAAAUCACUACAUGCAAUUUGUAGAUUCAUGAGAAUCUUGACAUUAUUAUGAUGAUUCUUGGUCCAGAGGUCAAACGCUGUAACCUCUGGGCAUUGGCUUUAACGGAUGGUCCAUUAGCUUGCAACGACCCAUUUCCUUCAUCAUCUAGAAAGGUAAAACCUCACUCCGUUUCCCCUCUAUUUUUCCUUUGUUUUUCCCCUUUGCUAUCAUCAGCGUUCAAUCGUCAUCUUACACUAAGUUUUUUCAAACUCAAAUGAACCCUAAAGGCUCCGAUGGCCCCUGUAAAUAGGGGCUUUAAUGCUCUCACCUAACAAGAAGAACUACCUAAGCGAACUUAAGUAAAUAUUAUAUGUUUAAAUACUCUGGAUUUCCUCUCUAAUUUCUUUUCUUUUCUUUUGCUUCUGCUUGAAUUCGACCACUGCAAGUUGAUUGUGAGAUUGGGUUCCUAAACGGCUAGUGAUCACCUCUACCUAGUUUUCUGCUCUGAAGAAGGUCAAUAAACCACUAACCCCUUCUUUAAUUGUUCAUGUGUUAGAUCUGCUUGUGUGAUAUUUUACUGUUAAUUACUUGCUCAUUUUUCUUCUUGAUGUUCAUCAGUAAAUAUGUGGCUCUUGUCGUGUUAUGCCACUUGUGUUGCUCUUUACCGAUAUUUCAUAUUUGCUGUUAUAUUUAUCUCCCAUGUUGUUGUUUACAUUAAUAUCUAACAGUGAUCGUUGAGUUUUAUUUCUUGUACUGAUAUCAUCGUUAGGCAUAUGUCUUGUCGAAUUGAAUUGAUAUUAUUGUGAGCUCAAUCCUGUUACUUCCUUAUGUUGAUUUGAGUUGAUUAAUUUUUUUGAUGGCAGCCAUGUUUAGCCUAUACUACUACCCUGCUGAUUGAUUGAUGCUCACUUAUCUUUAUACUUUUGCUCUUGGUUAUCAUACUGAUUAAGCUAAUGAAAUUAUGUUCCUAAUAUCUUAAAUGCCAUCUUGUUUAACAAGGUGAAGUCUUCAUCAAUAGGUUGUCUUGCUCAAAUGGUCUUCUUGCUUAUAGUAUUAUGCUGCUUGUGUUCAGUUAGUUAAAUGAAAUCCACCGAUGGCCUUGCCCACAUUAUCAUGUUGACUUGAUUAAGUGUCUUCAAUUAUUGGUCAUGUUAUGACACUAUGUCAUUUUGUUUAGUUAAGUCUAUAUGUGUUUACUAUGUUAAUAUGAAAUAAGGGGGGGGGGGGGAGGGGUACAUUUUAAAAUCAUGAUUGUAUGAUAAACUUUGGAGACCAAUAGGUGAUCCUGUUUACCUGAGUUGCAAUCAUAUGCUAAUUUUGUUUUGCAUUAUUUGUGCAUAGGUGCUUUCUUGUUGUCUCAUGAUUAUUUGAUGUCUAACAAGUUCUUCACUGAUAUAAUUUGAUUGUUGUCGAUUGUGAUGACUUAUAAGUUUUAAUUGAAUGUUGUAAAUAUGCAUUGGUAGAUAUCAUGCCGAUAGAAAUCACAUAAUGAGACUGAAAGUUGAACCUCUUACUCAUGCUAAAUUGUCCAUAUUGUCCUAACUAAUUGGUAUGACCCCUUGUGAAUUCUAAGUAAGGUGUUAACACGGGUUCUUAAUAUAGUAUAAGCCCAACCCCGGUGCUUAUUUUCAUGUUAUGGAAAUGACUGUUCUGAAAUGAUAUUCUACAACCUGCUUUAAUAAUAUAAACUUACCUUGAGAAGAUUCAAUUUGACUGGAUCUUUAAUGAAGCACUGAACCUCUGAUAAAGUUAGUAAUGUGUGCAUAUGUUUAUCUUUGUUAGUUGUUAAUGCCUUAAACCACUUAAGGUGACAUUCUUGUAUGAUGAAGUUGUUAGUAGCAUGGCAGGCCUGACUACAUGGGUGUAUAGUUGAAAAUAUGUGAUUAGUGGACCUUCCUUGAAUAUGUAUGUGUCUCUAAGAAUAUUCUGUAAGGUUGUGUUACAUGAAAUUAUUUAAAAUCAACCCUUGAACCUUUGAAUCAGUAAAAGGAUCAUGUGAACUUACAAGUACUGAUAGCAUGUGUCUAAUAAUGAUCACAGUUCUAAACUUUAACUUGUAAUGGUUCUUGGAUACUUAUGGCUUUGCCCUCCAGUGAUAACUGUAAUUCCUAAUAUGUUGUCUUAUGUUGUCAGUGUUUCUGCAUAAUCAAGUUUUUGGAGUAUGUUAUGAUGGUUUGAGACGCUAUAUUGAAUAUGCUACACUUCUGCUAGUUUAUGUUAAUUGUGUGAAUUGCCUGGGUACAUGUUUAGUUAAAUGUUAAGUUAAAAUCUCAUUUGUGUCUAAACCUCUUAAGAGAAGUAAGGUUCAGUACUUAAGGAUGAUUGAUGUGGGCUUGACUUUUUAGUUGAGGAACCCCUCCCCGGCACAAGUACUGCUCGUAAGUAAAUAUGGUUCACCCUAGGCCUAUGAAUAUCGACUUUCAUUGAUCUUCAUGGGAUUAGCAUAAACGAAAUUUAGCUUUACUAUAUUUCUUUAGAUCUUGUCCAUAUUUAUUAUAACUUUAUCUUACUUUACUUUUUUUUUGUAUAUACUAAUCCAUUCUCUCCCUUUUCUUUGCAUGAAUCAUUGGGCCUGCCGAGUUCAUUGAGAACUUAGGCCCAAGUUCAGGGAACUGGUCUGCUUCCUUGUCACCUGUUGUUGUCUGUUGCUGCUUUGAGUCUAGCUGGGUCUGAUUAUUUCGUCACCCCAACAUGAGAGUCCAUCUCCCUUCUUCUUCAUCUAAGGAAUUAUUAUUAUUGUCUUUGUCUUAUCCUUUGCGUAUCAUUAUGGAACUAAUGUUGUUAUUAGAUAUUAGUUCUUAGUUUACUUAUGUGAAUUAAUUACAGCCUUUAGGUAAACCAAACUAGUGAGGAAGAGAUAUAUAUGACCGAUAAGAUAACUUGCUUAACAAUCUCAACGUUUUCAGCAUGUGGACACUUUUAAAACUAAUGGUUCAGCAACAAUCUCUCUUUCAUUUACAUAUCUUUCAUGAUGAGUUUUGUUUGGUUUAGGCCUUUACAAGAUUAUAAUAACUUAAAAGCAAGAACACCCCUUUGAAUGUUUUGAAAACAAGUAACUUAGGCAACUAAAUAUCUGGACCGCUUCAAGAAAGAGAAGUAAGGGCGCCACACCUAGCACGAUCUCAUUUUACAAGAACAAAACCAAACACUCAUUUGGAAUUCUACCAAAGCAGUUUUUCGAAGACAAAUGAGGUACAACUAUUUUGAUAUAUACACUGACGCACUCUUUCUUAUUUUUACAAGACAUGUUACAAAGUUUUAAAACAAACAUUACUAUUUCUAAAGGAACUAUACCUUCAUUUCUUAAGACAAAGAAAUGAUCUUUCAAACAAGAAUCCAAAUAUUUUUCGUCAUUUAUUCAAGGCUUUCACAAGAGGCUCACUUAGCAAUUUUAAUCAACUAGGAUAUAAAUUUCUCUCCCCACACCUAUGCCUAAGUUUAAAGAGCUACCUCAUGUAGAUUUUAAGGAGUGCCUAACACCUUCCCCUUAAAAUAACUAAAACUCUUACCCGGAUCUCGCUGUUUAGUAGACAAUUAGGGCAAUAACUCUUUACAAAUAUAUAGGUACCCUAGUAUACCUUAAAAUAUUAGGUGGAAACUCUUCUUUUAUCAACUUCAAAGGAACCAUAAGUUGUAUUUUAUUUUAACUUGUGAAAAAUAGGGUGCAACAAUAAUAGUACGAGAUCAUGUCAGUUAUGGAGUAAGGGUAUUGUGGGUUAUCAUGUUAGUCAUGUCAGUUAAGGGUAUGUGUAUGGUGAGUUUAUUCUGUGAUAUGUUGGCUUUGAAACGACUUUUGGCACAUUCAAGAACUAAUGUAUGUUUAAUUAGAGGAGAAUGUAAUGACCCGAUAGGUCUUUUUGAGAAUUAGCAAUCCGUUCGGUGGUUUGAGGUCUUGAUUAGCUUCAUAUGAUGUAUUAUGAUUUGCGUGUAUGGUUGUUUUUGAUUUUUGGGAAGUUCGAGAUUGAUUCGGAAGAGUAAUUCUCAAUUUAUAAGCUUUAAGUUGGAAGAGUUGACCAAGUUUGACAUUGUAUAUUUGACCUUGGAUCAGUGUUUUGAUGGUUCAGUCAGGUCCGGAUGGUGAUUUUGGACUUGGAUGUAUGCUCGGGUUUGAGUUUCGAUGUUCCUAGAUGAUUUUGAGGCCAUUUAUCGAAAGUUGGAAGUUUGAAGGUUCGGAGAGUUGAUAGAUUUGACCUAUACAUAACUUUGUGGUUAUUGAUGUCAGUUUGGGAUUAAGCCCCUUAAAUAGGUUUGAAUGGUGAUUUAUGACUUGUGUGCAAAAUUUGGGGUCAAUCUGCGUUGUUUAGACGUGUUCAUCGUUAGUUUGGAAUCUGGUUUUGAUGUUAUUUUGAGGGAUUUGUGUCCUAGAGUAGAUCCGUAUUAUAUUUUGGGACUUGUUGUUAUGUUCGGACGGGGUCCCGAGGGGCUCGGCUGUGUUUAGGGGUAGUUUCGAACCAUUUCUCACCUAUCUUUGAUUGCUGGUUUUCUCUUAUUUUCUGGUGUUGUGUGCCUUCUUCCCGAUCGCGUGAGAAAGACUAUGAUCGCGAUGGGUAUGUUGGAGUUAGGUGGUGUUUCCUCUUCGCGUUUGCAAGUGGAGGAUAACGUUCGCGGAUGUUGAGUGGCUUGCCCAUCGUUCGUAAAGGGGGGGUUGUGAUCACGGUUCAGAGUGGGAGUUGGUGUAUUGUUUUCGCAUUUGUGUGGUCCAAGACGCAUUAACGAAGGUUUGGUCUCUUUGGUCAUUGCAUUUUCAUGGUCAGUGACCCGAACACAAAGUGUAUUUUUUGGCAGUAUUCAUCUUAGUGCUUCGCGAUCGCGAAGUAAUUCUCGCGAUUUUUACCACCUGGAUUGGGAUAAGUAUUUUUGACUUGAAUUUUAUUAUUAUGCAUGAUUCCAUCAUUGAUUUUAACAUUUGAUUGGUUAAUCUAAAUGUGAAAUUGGGGGGGUUUCGCAAAACGUUUCUAAAAUGAAUAAUUGAGAUUUGAACAUCGAUUCUGAGUCUGAUUUGGGUGAAAGUUAUAUGGUUAGACUCGUAUUCGAAUGAGUUUUUAGAAUUUGUGAGUUUUGUCGGGUUCCGUUGUGCGGUCUCGGGUUGAAUUUUUUGUUGACUUUGAGUAUUGGAUUAAACAUUUGACCUUUAUUGUUUGGGUUUGAUUCAUAUGGCAUUAUUUGGUGAUGAGUUAUUUUUGGCAAGAUUCAAGUUGUUCGGAGGUCGAUCCGCGCGGGAAGGCAUUUUUAUAGUAUGGAUUUGGCUUGUUUGAGGUAAGUAUCUUACCUAAACUUUGUUGAGGCACUAGUUACCCGAGUUAUUACUGAUAGCUACGUGUUAUGGGUGGUGCACAUAUGAGGGGGUCGAGCCCAUGUGCGUGUACCGGGCUGUUAUUCAUGCUCGAGGUAGUGCUUAGGCUAUGAUCUGCCUUGAAUUUAUUGCUGAGCCUCAUGCUAUUAUGUUUCUUAUGUUUGUACCCCUUUGUGAGCUAAUUGGAGCAUGUUAUAUUUUACAUAUAGGCUAAUUCCCUAAUUGAACAUGAUAACUGCUAUUUUUGUGAUGAAAAUGCCUUAUUUGAGCUAUGGUAGUGCACUUCGCACAGGCAUACACCUUUGCAUGUCACUUAUAUCAGUCCAUGAGUAUGUAAUUUAAUAUAAAUUGUUCAUGCACAUAUAUUCUUGUAUAUAUGUCUUUUGUGUCAUAUGGACUGGACUGACACAUGAGUAGUCCAUGCGGAUCUAAGUUAUUAUUAGCAUGUGAGUUGUCCGUGAGGUUGUUAUUUUUAGCACGUGAGUUGUCUGUGCGUUUGUAAUUAUUGGCACGUCACUUAUCCGUGUAGCGUUUGGAUAAGGAUCCAUCCCCUUAGGGUCACGCUCUCAUGUUUCUCUCUAGAUGGUGUACACGCAGGUUGUGAGAAACCAACAGAUUUCUGGUUGAUGUGGAUUUUUGUUAAGUUGAUCAUUGGUUGGACUUUGUAUCUCUUCUCUAUUUACAAACUCCUUGGACAUAUACUUUAUUUUUCUCCAUAUCUUCUCUAUAUGCGAUCUCCGAAAUUUAUACAUGCCUUUAUGCAUAUCUUCUCUAUAUGCUACAUUACUUGAUGCGAUGAGACACUGUACAUAUCUUCUCUAUAUGUGAAUCUGUGUGACUUGACUUGUGUAAUCACGCAUAUAUUCUCAAUAUACACUUGAUGAAGGAUAAAUUUCUAUUUCACGCAUAUCUUCCCUAUGUGCAAGUUUGACGAUUUAAUGAUAUUGGACGCAUAUCGUCUCUAUAUAUUGUUAAUUGAUUCAGGACUUCACACAAUAAUUCUUUGUGCUCCAAUGUGGUUUAAUCUGUGUUAUAUGAUUAGAUGGCACCAUUGCUAUGUACUUGUGAAAUUCAGGAAUGGAACAGGUUAUUAAUGAGUAUCAUUGACUAUUCUUGCCUCUAUCACCUCACCAAGGUUAGUUAUGAUACUUACUUGGUAUAUGCAGUCUGUUGUACUCAUACUACACUUCUGUAACAUGCAUGUAGAUCUUAGAGCCGAGUUGUUGUGGAUGACAGAAUCUGGCACUGAAGUUGUACGUGUUUUCCGGAUAUAGCUACCACUUUUCAUUNNNNNNNNNNNNNNNNNNNNNNNNNNNNNNNNNNNNNNNNNNNNNNNNNNNNNNNNNNNNNNNNNNNNNNNNNNNNNNNNNNNNNNNNNNNNNNNNNNNNNNNNNNNNNNNNNNNNNNNNNNNNNNNNNNNNNNNNNNNNNNNNNNNNNNNNNNNNNNNNNNNNNNNNNNNNNNNNNNNNNNNNNNNNNNNNNNNNNNNNNNNNNNNNNNNNNNNNNNNNNNNNNNNNNNNNNNNNNNNNNNNNNNNNNNNNNNNNNNNNNNNNNNNNNNNNNNUCUCNAUACAAGGUGCGACAGAAGGGAUGGAUAGUAAUGUUACAAAUACCAAGCUAAGAACUAAGCUUAGGAAACGUAAAGUGGGAACUGUGAGAGACAAGGUGAGGAUUGUAUUUGGUUCUAAGAGUGUCAUAAUAAAAAUUAUAUGAUGGCCAGAUUCCUAGAAUAAAAAUUCCUAAUGAAUGAACGUAUGGAAGCAUAAACGACUGGGUAUUCCUAAAGAUGUUGCCUACUAAAGGGGACAUGACAUACGAUAAGAAGGGCAAGCUUAGCCCGAGAUAUAUUGGGCCUUACAAAGUCAUUUGAUAGAUAGGAAGAGUAGCUUAUGAGCUUGGAUUGUAUCUAGAGUUGGAGUCAUUCCAUUAUCCAUGUUACGGAAGUGCAUUGGAGACCCUUCUCGCAUUGUCCCAGUAGAUGAUGUUCAGGUUAUAGAGGAACUAUCGUACGAGGAGAUUCCAGCGGUUAUUUUAGAUCGACAUAUCCGUAAGUUGAGGAACAAAAAGGUAGCCUCCAUGAAGGAAUUAUGGAGAAAUACGAUCGUCGAAAACGUGAUGUGGGAGGCCGCAGCGGAGAUUAAAUAUAAAUACCCCACCUAUUUCAAACUGAAGAUAUGGCUCGGGAUGGGAUAUUACAGCACAACCCGGUUCAAACUAGUAGGUCGACAGUGAGCUCUUAUUUUUGACUUGAAAUACUUAUGAUUGACGGUCGUGUGAGGCCAAGUGUUGCUAUUUAUAGACAUUGGCGUUGUGUGGCAUGUAUAGUAUUUUUUCUGGCUGUGUGUAAGUUGGUUUUAGUCCAGUGUAGAAAGGAGAUUGUGGCGUAAUAUUUGCAAGUCUCUAAUAGAUAACAUUCACGUACGAAUGUUCAUAAGAAGGUAAAGAUGUUACACCUCGUAUUUUCAUUUUUGGAAUGCAUCUUAAGUGAAUCAACAUAAGUCGAAGAGUUUAAGGACCUUUACAAAGAUAAUGAUUAGUUACAACAGGUGUUAAGGAAGUAUUGUGAGAGUUGGGGGCUAAACAAAUUAAAGAUAUUAUAACCCGUACUUUUGGGGUAAAACUAGGAGUGCUUAAUAUGCUAAAGAGGUCCUGUUAUAAGGUACUUUAAUCAUAUAAUAUUAAUAUAUUAUGUUUUGAAGUCAAACAAGUUGUAAAAUAAAAGUCGGCAAAAGUUAUUGCAUGUUACGUUCAUAAUUUUACUGCAAUUUGGGUCUAAUGUCACUGAACGUUUCUUCUAAUAUACUUGAUUUAGGAGGUGAUCCACUUACAAAUUUUAAUCUCUAUGAUUCUAGUUUCUAACUCAUUAAAUCGUUAAUCAAUGAGACAUCGGAGCAUAGAGAUAUUCGAUUUUUUGCAAGACUGCACAUAUUGCAUAGGUGACAAGUAGGUAUGUCACCUACUUGCUUAAAUGAAAGGACCAAGUAAAUCCCCAAAAGGGGCUGGUUGGGGUCGUCCAAAGGUACCUUUUAAGGGAUGAUUUCCUUAAUAUAUUCUACUCAUUUUGGAGCCAAAAAUAAGAGAAUAAACCCCUUGAAACUUCUCCCUAAAGUUCCACACAAAACCCUAAGUUAUUUUCUAUUCUUAUCAGAUUCUAGUUGGAGGAAAACAUACUAGUUGAAGAACCCAACUUACAAGUUGAUCUCUCACCAAAUCAGGUAAGUAUACUACCCUCUUUCAUCCCCUUUUUUCUGCUAGAAUGGUAGAGAGAUUCGUUCCAUAACAGUAAGAACUCACGGAACGACGAUCGAAAGCCGUGAAUUCGAGUUGUUCAACUUGCAGUGGACUGUUUGGGACUGUUUAGGGAGUUGUUUCGUGUUUUUGUUGAUUUGUAUAUUUUGGUACUACUUUUGUGGAGUAUGAGAGGAUAAAAUGUGUGGAGAAACACCACAUAAUUGUGGGGGAGGUGGGCUGGUUGUUUGUCGUUACAUUUUAGGGUUGUUUGACACUAGUGUGGUUGUUGUUUUGUGUAUGAAGUGAUUGGGGUGUGUUGGGCUAUUUUGUGAUAUUUUUUGAUGGAUAUAAAGUGGAAGAUGAUGAAUAUAUGUUGUUAUAGUUGUUAUUAAUGUUAUCUCGAAUUGGGAGGAAGUAAAGGUUAUAAGAGAGAUGCUGCCCAUUUUACUAUAAAAUAAGCUUGUCAUUCGUUGUGCAAUAGUUGUGUCCUACAUAAAUUAAUGAUAGAAUUAUCCUUGUUAUUGAAGAUUAAGGUGAGACGACACGAGAUCAAUGUGAAAAUUGGACAGAUUGUGAUAAGACACGUAAUAGCUAUCGCUUUUGACCCAUUUUGGCAUGAAUCCCCCUUAACGACAAUUUCUCCAAAGAAAAGCUUAACGAAAUGUCUCGUUGUAGAUACUCCACUCAUAUAUAAUCUAGGUUUUUAUGUUUACCUUUGAGGUUGUUCUUUUGGUUUAUAUAUUUAUGUCUCCAUUCACGUUGGAGAUAAAUUUAUUGGAAGUAACAUCCAUAAUGUUGUUCAGCAAGCUAACGACUUUACGUCAUUCUGAUUAUUUUGUCACUAGACUAUUUUGUCACUAGACUGAGUAAUGAACUCAAAGUUAUUCUUAUGUAAUACAUAUAUAUAUACACACACAUAUACCACUGUAGUUGGAGAUGUUAGUACAUUAUAUAUACCACUGCAGUUGGGCAUGUUAUUAAAUUAUAUCUAUACCACUGUAGUCGGGGAUAUUAUUAUUAUUAUUAUUAUUACAUAUAAAUAGUUACAGUUGGGGAUGUUGCUAUUGUAUGUACGUAUAUAUAUAUAUAUAUAUAUAUAUAUAUAUAUAUAUAUAUAUAUGUAUGUGUGUGUGUGUGUGUGUGUUUUGGGCUUUCCACCUAUCAUGUUGUUGCGUCUUUCAUGUCUUCAUAUUGUUGUAUCAUGUGGCCUUGUCAGCCCUAAAUGUUCGUAUGUCUUGGUUAUGUGAUUUUAGGUUGGUACGCUCGGCCAAGUGAGGCACCGGGUGCCGGUUUCGCCUCCCCAGGUUUGGGGCAUGACAGAUGGCGCGCCUAACGCUGCUUUCUAGGAAAGCCAACACACAAUGAUAAAUACAAAAGGAAAUGAAACUAUCGAUUAGCAGUAAAAUAAUAACGUAGAGUAAAAAUAACUCAGCAGCAUACAUAAUAAAUCUAAAUAUCAACAAUUACGAUUCAACCAUCCCAAGACGUAGAGUCACGAGUACAUGAGCUACUAGAGUUUACUAAAUACAUUGUCUUGAAAGAAAUACAAUAUUGUCAGGUAAAUAUAAACAGUAUGGAGGACAUGUAAAGAUGACUCUAAGGCAUGCGAACGAUAUGCAACUCUACCUUGAGUCGCCUAUCUGGUAUCCGCUAAGCACCUCUCGGAAUUUCGCUAGCACCAAUGUCUGAAUUUGCAUAAGAAGUGCAGAAGUGUAGUAUGAGUACAACCGAUACAAUGUACUCCAUAAGUAUCGAGCCUAACCCCAACGAGGUAGUGACGACGCUAUGACGGGACACCUAAAUAUAAACCCGUGCAGUUAUGUAACGAGAAAUAAUGAUAUGACAAGUAAAUAUCAAGCAAGAUGACAAAAUAACAACAUGCGAGUGAAUAACCAAGUAUGUAAGCACAAAGAUACAGAACGAGGAAUUAAAGGAAGGUACUAUUGAAGUAAACCAUAACUUAUGCUUCUACAAACAACUCUGAACAAACCUUUCAAAGACACUUACGAAGCAACAUAUCCAAGUCCUCAGUCUGAAUAGCAAAAUAAAGAACAACAAUACUGUCACGACCCCAAUUUUCCACCUUAGGAUAUCGUGAUGGCACCUAGUCGCUAAGACUAGGUAAGCCUAACAUGCAUAGAGAAGUAGCGGAAAUAAUAAUAAAACCUCAAGUUUAAACCAUUACACUAUCAUAAUAAAUUUCAACAUCGCAACUGACAAAUAACUCUCAAAAUCUGGUGGAACUGAGUCAUAAGCUCUACAGAAUAUUCUAAAACGUCUACUACAACACUAUCUAAUAAAAGAAACAAUAGUAAUGAGAAGAUAACGGAAGCUGAUUCCGAGGCCUACAAAUGCCGGGCGAGUAUACCUUGAAGUGUCCUGAAAGCAACUAACCAAUCAAUCUCUAAUGUCCAGCACGGGCAGGUGUAUCUGGAUAUGCACAAAAGAUGUGCAGAAGCGUAGUAUGAGUACACCACAACGGUACCCAGUAAGAAUCAAAACUAAACUCGGUAGAGUAGUGACGAGGCCAGGUCAAGACACCUACCAGGACAAGAUAAGCGGAGUAAAAUUAUUACAACGGGAAGUAAUGGAAUGGGGAGAAAUUAAUGAUAACAAAGCAGUUUAGUAAUGUAAACUAAUGACAGAGUUGUAAGAAACCAGACAACAAGAAGGAAGCAAAUAAUGAGAACCACAAAGAAUCAAUUAUGGAUAAAACUGGUAAGAUAAGGAAAAAUAAAAGCAACAAGAAUUGUUCAACAAAUAACUCCUUUCAAUAUGAAAUGCACAACAAGACUCACAACAAAGUACUGCAUCAUAUUGACAUUUCACAAUUUCAAUCACUAUUUUUCCUUAUAUCACCGCGUGAGCCUUACAUUUAGUUUUCAAAAUCAUUUUUCCCAAAAUAGCUACACGCGUUUUAGUCCACCUUAUCACACCGCGUGGCUUCAAGUAGUUCCCCUACUAGCAUCACGCGUAUCAAGCCCGCCUUAUCUCACCGCAUGCGUAUCAACCCCUAGACUUAUACCACUACAUGGGUAUCAAUUUCACUACAUAAUCACAACUCGCACCACAAGUGUCCAUAUGCCACAACUUGCAAAAUGAAUCAACAAUACCACUGUUUCCUCAACAAAUAACCCAUGGCUCAACCACAAUAUGGACAAGAAUCUCAACAAUAGCAAAAUGAAUGUCAAUUGCUCCACAAGAAAGAUAUUUCAACAAUUAACAACUUCACCUCAAUGUAAUAACGACUUUUAUAAUUUCAACACCAAUAACUCAACAAGAAGAUAUUCUAUGAAAUAACAACUUCAAGUAAACGUAAUUCAACAAUUUAAGAGGUAAUAAGACAAUAAGGAAGGCAAUAACAACAACUAAAGCAUAUAAGAGCAAAUAACAAAUAAGAGGUAGAACUAGUGUUAACAAGGUAAAAUAGGGCAUGAAAGGGUAGGUUAACACAUGUAAGAGUAGAUUAACAAUGAAGGAUAUAACAUGUUAUGACAAUUUAAUUAAAUGAAUUAAAAGAGUAUAAAUAACCUAAACCGGUCAAUUACCACAUAUAGCCCGCGUACCCACUCGUCACCUUGCGUACACGGCUUUCACAUAAUAAAAAUUGCACAAACAACCCAAAUCUUAAGGGUUAGUUCCCCACACAACGUUAGGCAAGAUACUUACCUCAACUAGGCCAACUCAACCAUCGAAAAUAGCUUUUCCCCUAAAUUGCUCCUCCACACGGCUCAAAUCUAACCAAAAGUGACUUAAUAUCAUCAAACAAUGCAAAGGAAAAUAAUUACAAUAAAUAAAGCUUUGAUCUUUACAAAAUUUCCAAAAAGUCAACAAAAGUUAACCCCGGGCCCGCCCAGUCAAAACCCGUGUCCAAGGGUAGAUUUUUCCUACCCAUAACUCCACGAGUCCAUAUAUGUGUUUUCCUUCAAAAUUUGAGUCCAAAUCGACUCUCAAAACUCAAAUUCUCACUUUUCAAAACUUAGGCAAAAUUUCUCAAGUUUUUACUUUGAUUCACAUAAAUAUGAUGUUAAAUAUAACAUAUAAUCAUGAAAUAUAGGUGGUAAUAGAGUAGAAUCACUUACCCAAUAUUUGUAAAUGAAAACCCCUCUCCAAAUCGACUCUUACCGCAUCUAGGGUUCUAAAAUAUGAAAAUGAGACUAAAAUCCCGACUUUCUAACCUUUUGUUCAGUUGCAAGUGUCACAAUUUCUAACCUUAUGUGGGAAGUCACAAAUGCAACAUGGGUUUCACAAUUUCGAAGCCUACUUCCCUCGCAAAAGCGACAAAAAUCUCACAAAUGCAAAACUACCAAAACCUAGGUCAACUUCGCAAUUGCGACCCAAGCAUCACAAUUACGAUACCUAUGAUCCCCCUUCUAAGGUCGCAUUUAUGAUUCUAGUGUUUGCAAUUGCGACACCAGAGGCAUCAGCGUACCAGCAGUUUAGAUUCAGUCAAAAACCAUUCUGAAACUCAUCCGAGUCAUCGAGACUCCAAACCAAACGCCCACACAAGUCUAAAAAUAAGAUACGGACUGGCUUGCCCGAUCAAACCACAAAAAUAACAUCUACAACUACGAAUCGGAGACCAAAACUCAUAAAUUUCAAAGUAAAGUUCAAGAACCUCUAGAAUUGCAAACAAGUGUCUGAAUCCUAUCAAAUCAACUCCACAUGACACCAAAUUUUGCAGAAAAGUUCUAAAUAACAUAAUAGACCUAUUUCAAGUCCCAAAACAAAAUUCCAAACCGAAUAGCCAAAAGUCAACCUAUGGUCAAACUUCUAAACCUCAAAUUGUUAAUAUUCGGCAUAACAACAAAAAUUAACCUACGGACUUCCGAAUUCGGUUUCGGACAUACGCCCAAGUCAAAAAUAACGAUGCAAAGCUAUCAGAGUCAUAAAAAUACCGUUCUGGGGUCCCUUUCACAAAAGUCAAAGUUUGGUCAACAUAAUCAACUUAGGCUUUUAACCCAAAAAUCAAAGUGUCUAAAUUAACCCAAAACCUUCACAGAACGAAACCAAUCAACCCCGUAAGUCAUAAAACAAAAAUUACACAUGUGUGAAGCAUCAAAAGGGAAAACGGGGCUCGAAUACACAAAACGAACAGUCGGGUCGCUGCAUUCUCCCCCAUUUAAAACUAACGUUCAUCCUCGAACAUGAAUAAAGACAUACUUGAAGUGACAAAAAGGCGAGGAUAACAACUCCACUUGUCGUUCUCAGUCUCCCAGGUCACCUCCUCGGACGGAUGACUCCUCCAUUAAACCUUCACUGAAGCAUUAUUCUUUGAUUUCAACUUCCAGACAUGUCCGUCCAAGAUAGCCACCGACUCCUCAAUAUAAGUCAAAUUCUUGUCCAAUUGGACUGAGCUGAAGUCCAAAGUAUGGGACGGAUAACCAUAAUACUUCUGGGGAAUAGAAAAAUGGAACACCAGGUGAACUGCCGAUAAGCUAGGUGGCAAUGCAUGCUUGUAGGACAGCUCACCAACUCUCUCAAGGAUCUCAAAAGGGCCGAUCUACCUAGGGCUCAACUUGCCCUUCUUCUCGAACCUCAUCAUACCAUUCAUAGGUUCAACCCGGAGCAAAACCCUCCCUCCAACCAUAAAUGCUACAUCACAAACCUUCUGAUCAACGUAACGCUUUUGCCUAGACUACGCUGUACGAAGCCGAUCCUGAAUAAUCUUAACUUUCUCAAAGGCCUCUCGAACCAAAUCGGUGCCCAACAAGCUAGCCUCUCUCAGUACGAACCAACCAACUUGAGAAUGGCACUGUCUCCCAUAUAGGGCCUCAUAAGGAGUUAUAUGAAUACUCUAUUGGUAGCUGUUGUUGUAGGCGAACUCUACAAUUGGCAAUAAAUGAUCCCAACAACCCCCGAAAUCCAUAACACAGGAACAAAGCAUAUCCUAUAAUAUCUUAAUAGUGCGCUCGGACUAUCCAUCUAUUUGGGGGUGAAAUAUUGUAAUCAACUCAAUCCGUGUGCCUAACACGCGCUACGCAGCUCUCCAAAACUGUGAUGUGAAUUGCGUACCUCGAUCGAAGUUAAUGGAUACUGGCACACCAUGGAGACUAACAAUCUCACGGACAUAGAUAUGAGCUAGCUGCCUUAAAGAAUAGGUGGUCACCACCGUAAUGAAAUGAGCCGACUUGAUCAACCUGUCCACAAUCACCCAUACAACGUCAAAUUUCUUCAAAGUCCGUGGGAGCCCAACAACGAAGUUCAUGGUAACACGCUCCCACUUUCACUCAGGAAUCUCAAGUCUAUGAAGCAAGCCUCUUGGCCUCUGAUGCUCAUACUUCGCCUGCUGACAAUUUAGGCAUCGAUACACAUACACCACUAUGUAUUUAUUUAUUCUCCUCCACCAAUAGUGCUGCCACAAAUCUUGACACAUCUUUGCGGCACCCGAAUGAAUGGAUUAUCACGAACUAUGGGCCUCCUCAAGGAUCAACUCAUGUAAUCCAUCAAUAUUUGGCACACAUACUGGCCCUACAUCUACAACACAUUGUCAUAUUCGAUUGAAAGCUUCUUUGCAUCGCCAUUCUGUACCGUAUCAUUAAGUACAAGCAAAUGGGGUCAUCAUACAGACGCUCUCUGAUGCGCUCAUAUAAAGUACAUUGAGAAAACACGCAAGCAAGAAUCCGACCGGGCUCUAAAACAUCCAGUCUCACAAACUGAUUAGCCAAGGCCUAAAUAUCUAUGGUUAAUGGCCUCUCUGCUACUUGUAGCUACACCAAACUGCCCAAACUCUCCGCCUUUCUACUCAAGGCAUUGGCCAGCACGUUGGUCUCCCGGUAUGAUACAGAAUAAUGAUAUCAUAGUCUUUAAGCAACUCCAACCAUCUUCGCAGCCUAAAAUUAAGAUCUUUUUGCUUGAAUACAUGCUAGAGACUCCAGUGGUCGGUAUAGACCUGACAUGGAACACCGUACAAGCAGUGCCUCCAAAUCUUCAAUGCAUGAACAAUAGCUACCAAUUCGAAGUCGUGCACCAGAUAAUUCUUCUCAAGGACCUUCAACUACCGAGAUGCAUGGCAAUCACCCUACUGUCUUGCAUCAACACCACGCCAAGCCCAAUAAGUGAUGCAUCAUAAUACAUAGUGUAAGACCCUGAACCCGUAGGAAACACCAACAGUUGGACUAUCGUCAAAGUAGUCUUCAGGUUUUGAAAGCUCGCCUCAUACUCCUCGGACCAUCUAAAAGGAGCACUCUUCUGGGUCAAUCUACUCAUAGGUGCAACAAUGGAUGAGAUACCCUCUUUAAAACGGUGAUAAUACCCGGCCAAACCAAGGAAGCUCUAAAUCUCAAUAGCUGAAAGUGGUCAGGGCCAACUCUGAAGUGCUUUAAUCUUCUUCGGAUCUAACCUUGAUCCCCUAACUAGAAACCACAUGACCCAAAAAUGCCACCAAAUCAAGCCAGAAUUAACACUUUGAAAAUUUUACAUAUAACAUCUUCUUUCUCAAGGUCUGGAGCACGAUUCUCAGAUGCUGCUCAUGAUCCUCCCGACUGCGAGAGUAGACCAAGAUGUCAUCAAUAAACACAAUGAUGAAGGAAUCAAAAUAUGGCUGAAAUACACUAUUCAUUAGGUGCAUAAAUGAUGUUGGAGAAUUGGUCAGCCUAAAUGACAUCACAAGAAACUUGUAGUGACCAUACCGAGUCCUAAAAGUAGUUUUCGGAAUAUCCAGAUCCCGAAUCUUCAGCUGAUGAUACCUGACCUCAAAUCAAUCUUUGAGAACACUCUAGCACAUUGUAUCUGGUUAAAUAAGUCAUAAAUACGUAGUAAUGGGUACUUGUUUGUCACGAUCCAAACCUAUGGGCCGCAACGAGCACUCGGUACCUUACUUAACCGAGUACUAACAUAACAUAUUUUUCUUAUUGUACUUUCGUUGGAAAAUAGGCCAAACGGGUUGUCAUGGGCUAACCAGAAUAAACAUAGAGGAAUAUUCAAUAUAGGACGACCCCAACCUGAUAUAAAAACUUAUACAUGUGAUAUACGGGCCUAUAAGGCCAAUAUGAUCAUUUGUAAACUCAAAACAUAGGCCGGAAAGGCCAUACAAGAAUUCUUAUACAUGACAUCUAUCUACAAGUCUCUAAGAGUACAUACUUAUCACAAAGGUCGGGGCAGGGCUCCGCCAUAUCAAACAAUACACGUCUAAAUCAUACUGACCAAACAAGCAACUCCAGAGCAAAUGGAGCGCACCUACAUCUUCCGCUGAUCUAAUUGCCUACUCUGAGGACUCUCGACCUAUCUAUCGGAACCUGCGGGCAUGAAACGCAGCAUCCUCGGGCAAAAGGGACGUCAGUACGAAUAAUGUAUCGAGUAUAUAAGGCACAUAAAUAAGUACAUAACAGACAUGGAAAAGAUAUAGAGUACAUGACUCAACCUGUAAGUCGGGAUAACUCUGUAAAUCAUGAAAUAAUAAUAGUGUCAUGCAUAUGCUUAUGAAUGACAUAUCGUGUAUCGGUACAUGUUUCAUAACAUCAUCGGCCUCUGAGGGUAUCCCAUUAUAUCAUCUCGACCACUGUGGGUAAAAUCAUCAACGUAUACCAGCUGAUCGGGUGGUGGUGCGUAUAUAACGUCAUAACCUUUCCCAUAUCCCAUAUACAUAUAUAUACAUAUAUAUACGCGUAUAUAACGCCAUCUGGUCAUGGGUCAAUGUGCAUGUAUAAAUGUAUGAAAUGCAUAUGAAAUACGUUAAUAAAAUCUCUCAGUACUUCAUAAGACCUUUAUAUCUCUGAUUAAUAUCAUGGAAUAAAUUUUACCAACUUAUGUAUUUUUGAGACCCAUGAACAGAAGAUAAAAUAAUGUGACACGUGGGGAAUCAAGAACAUAAGCAUCUCUAAUAUUUCUAUGAAUAGAGUCAUGUAUGAAAAUUGUGCAUUUUCUCAUUUCGUUUGUGUCGUAUGGAUCGUGCCAAAAGAAAUAAGGAAUAGCCUUAACAUACCUUGAGUAGGAAAAAAUUCGUAUGAUAUCUUUGAAAAAGGUUGCACCGCAAAAUUUUACGUUGCAACGGUUUUAACAAUUCUCGUUCGAAUUGUUUGGUUGCAAGAAGUUUGGUUGAAAUCUUGUAAGAAUUGCUUGAAGAUCCUGUCUUGCAUAAGACUUACGUUUGAGACAAAUGUUUGUAACGUACAAACACUCACGUUUUUUGAAUGCACAUAGAAAUGGAUUUGUGACUUUAUUGAAUUGGAGAAAUCUUCUAAAGCUUUUUACUAAAGAACGUUACCCCUUUUAUAUACUUUGUGAAUUUAGAGCUUUUUAUGGCUUAGCCAAGAAUUUCUUUCAAAGUGACACCUAGCAAGGUUAUCUAAGAGUCACUUAAAGACUCUUAUGUUGCUGCCAUGUUUUGGGAGGAUAUCCUUAUCCAAUAAUUAACCAUUAAUCCUCUUACUUAAUUGUUAAUCUCCCAUUAUCAAAUAAUUCACAUAACUAGGAAUUAUCUCCAACUACUUAAAAUACUACCCACUUUUAAUACCCUCUGUACACCUUACUAUCAUGGUCAUGUGGUACCUUGUAUGUCACUAGUCCAUAAAUACUGGGUAUUUUAGCUCGGGCCGUAUUUUAGUCCAACCUGACAAACUUUGACGAAAUUCAUUUUUUUCAAUUUACUUACCCUCUCACCUUCACGAAUUUACUCAUCACUUAUUUGAAAUAGCAUAAUACUUAUAAUCCCAAAAUAAUCUCAUUCCCAAACUUACACCGAUUAACUUACGACGAAACUUUAACGUACAAAAACAUGGGGUGUAACAUCAUUCCCCCCCUUGGAACAUUCGUCCUCGAAUGUUGACUGAUGCACUUAUCAUUAUCAUAGCCUAUAGUCCUUGUGAGUACUUUAGUACUCUCCUUGCCAUCUUAGGCAGUUGUUCUCUGAAUAAAUCCAAAGUCUAGGGUAUUCCCACCUGUAGGUCUCUUUCUUACACUACGGCCUGUGGUCGGGAUUCUUCCAAUCUCGUAACUCUUGCUACCUUCUGUCAUGUAGCUUGUACGACUUUUUCCUUGUAAGUACGCCUAUGCAACUCUUCUUCUUCUUUUUUUUCCUCCAACUUUUACCCAAUCUCUAGGCUUCACUUCGUAAACAUAUACAGAGCUUGAUAAGAUGUCCCUCUAGGCAUCUAUGGAUACACCGAAAUUCUUCGUUCGGUACUUUGUUGAACUCACGAAUAUUGCUAUACCUUAUUUCGUUUAUCCAUCCGUAUGACUUUACUGUACCUAGGUAGGUCAUAUUAUGCCAUAACCCUUACCUCGAUUUAUCGUUACUGAGGGCUGCUACGGAACUCCAGGUUACUUUCAUUGCUUAUCCCAUAUGUAUAAAUCUAAGUCAUUUAAAGCUUCCUCAUUAUUGUUCAUCUUAUGAAUGGUGGCCUAAUCUUAUCUCAUACUUUGUGACUUUUGUCCAUCCAUUGUUAAUUCACCUCAAUAUUAAUUUACAAUAUACUACUGAUAACUUGAAACUUCUUACGUCAUACCUUGCCACUAGGGCUUACAUUGCAUUGAGGAAUAUUUGAAGUGAUUUUCCUGAUCCACUUAGGGGUGAUACUGUACAUCAAUAACCGUAUUUUAUAGCAUCCCAAUGCAAUUCACUUACGUGGGUAUUUUAAUCUCUUACAAUCCAUGAAAUCCUCUUCAAAUCUUUACUCACUCGAAGGCCUAAACAUCAUCCUUUAUCCAUCACAAUUACACCCCCAUUGUACUAUCAGGGCAGUAUUCCAUCUCUUUCAAACGCUAUUAGUCUUAGACUCCCUUGUGUUUAUUCAGGCUAUACUAAACUUGCUAUAAUAUAGAGAGAUCAUUAGCUCUUUUAUUUUCACGGGCUAAAUCCCGAGAACUUACUUGUUUCUCGUCACCUCCUCAUUCGCCCUUUCUUAUCCUUAUUCCUGUCUUUCUAAAACCUUAUUGCAUUACCAUACUUUAGCUUGCGUCCUACGUAUAUCUAUUUAUACUACUCGCAACCUUCCUUCAACUUGCUUGCAUCAUAGAUUUCCUUGUGUUAUUCUGGAGUUCAAGCGCGACAUCACAUCGUCUCUAACUCCUCUUUACUUUCUUAAUUAGCCUCCUCGAUACCUGGAAACCAUAGGCUGGAAGACAUGCCACUGACGACGCCGCUAUCAUUCUUGGAUACUGAAUCCCCAUGCUUUUAACUUUAUAUCCCAAGUAUGGACUAUUCAUAACCUCAUACAUUUGAGUAUCGCUUACGUUGUUCACCUUUACCUUACUUACCUUAAAAUCUUGCAUCACGUCUUGUAUCUCUUUCAUGACCUUCCUUCCACAUAGGAAUAAUUCACAUCCAUAACUUGAGGCUUUAUUAUAAUACUUGCACCUCUGGUGUAUACAUAAUCCGGUGAGAGCUUCAUAAUAACUUCUUAUGAGGUUGGUACUUUUCUAAACGACUUUAUCGUAGGGCCGUUAUAGAAUAUGGUUAUUGUACUAUCUCUCUUGCACCUCUGAUAUUAAGAGUGAUUCUGCAGUGUUCUUAAUCACGAUGUCCAUAAUUUCAUGGGUCCAAUAAUCAAACUCUUGAUUUAUUUGGGUGAUGUAAUUCUUUAUUUUCCUCUUCCUUCUGAUCCGCCUUCAUGUAGGCUCCAACUAUCUUCCGAUAUGUGGCUCCUGGGAUUAGUUAUUACCUUAUCCUUUCAUGGGCGCUAUAGACUAUCCAUGACAUAAUCUUCUAUCAAUUCCAUCCUUUGUCUAUGCCGUGGGCUCAAUUCCUUUUUUUUACUCAUACCAGAGUCUUUUACGGCUGAUCAUUAAUCGAAUAAUUCCUUUCGUUCUAUUUGAACUUUCUUCAGAUGUAAGCAAUUGCUUCUCCUGCUCUUUUUGCCCCCUUUUUGCAUGCAUACUUAGCUUAUCUGAGUUCUCACGCAUGCCGAAAUGUUUUUUUUUGUGCAACUCAUAUGGUCUCGAAUAUUACUUUUGGUUUUACUCCUCGCUCAUUAGCCAUGGUAGGUGCCACUUUCUUUUGGAGUGCAUACAAUUUUGUAGUGAGACUAUUGUUACACAACCAUUUCCUCCUUAGGUUACUGAGCUUAGGUUGAAGACUUCUUCCUUACUUCCUCAAUUAGUCUUUCAUUGUAGUAUUUAGGGAGGAUCCUCUGACUCUUGUAAAGCUGUGAGCUUAUUACAUUGUACACUUGAUGGACCUUUUGAUGUUCUUCCUUUCCUAUAAUUAUCUGUAGUUAUUUACUUCCACCCCCUUGUGCUUGUAGGGUUGCUUCUGAACUUGAUAUUUUGACUGACUUCCCAGUGGCACUCUCUUUUAUUUCCGUAACACUCAUAUGGUACCUUUAACUAUCCCAACUCCUAUCUAAAUAUUUCUCAAUGAUCACAAUGUCAUAACUGCGAGGCUGAAUUUACUAUAUUGGGUUUUACUAUGUUUAUCUUACACGAUCUGCUGACUCGUCUGUAAACUCCUAUUUAGCCAUCACUAGGCUCUUCCUGAUCAAUUACUAACUACUCGUUGGUACAUUCUCAUAUCCAUAUUUCGCAUAAUCUUUCUUGGGUUAUUUCUUUUGUCUUAACUUACUAUUUAUCAAAAACAUCCCGGGCAGGGACCCAUACUUCCUUUCCUUGACAUCGUGUUUGCAUAGUGUUCUUGAUUCGUAGCAUAUAUGUAGGCUUUGAAUAAAUGCAAUCUCGUCCCUUUUCUCCAUCCACUGACUCUUCUCGUUGCUUAACAUUAUUUCUCUACUAGGGACGGGAGCCAUAUUAAGAUAAUAUUUAUCCUUUCCAGGCUUCCAAUGCCUAUCUUUGUAAUACUCAUAUCUAAUUGUACUAUUUUAGAGUGCACCAUCUGGAUGUCUUAUAAGGAGAUAUAUCGGCACAUUAUCCUUCGGAAAUGUCAACUAACGCAAAUAAUCCAUCCACUAUUUUGGGUUACUCUAACCCCAGUCGGAUCCUGAUACCCGUCCUUCUCUUAUACCAUAUAUUAUAGCUCCUAUAGGGCAUAACUGAGAUCAGUGUAGCCAAUGGUACAUACCUCUGUUACUGUUGAAGAUAACUCAAAAGGCUUAUAUUUCUCUACCUGAGUUGUAAAUACUGUUAUUCUUCAUUAACUGGGCGCCUCGUACCCUUAUUCAUCUUUCUUCUUUUACUUGUUGAAACUUAUACCUUCUGAUUCUUUCAUUGCUUUUUACCAUAAGAGUGGAUAUGCAUUCUUGCCUUAGGGAUCCUUAUCAAGAAGCUUACACAUCUUAGUAUAUACAUGAUCUGCUAAAUACCUCAUCUUUAUCCAUCAUAAGCAUGAGGCAAAAAUUGAGUUCCUCUGACUCAACUCUUCCAUAGCUAUAUCCCUUACCAAUCGUCUUUCUGGAUGUAGGAAUCAUCGUAUUAUGAAUAAGAUAGAGUUUAGAAAAUUGAGUUCUUACAACUGGUCUCUACCACACGAUCUAGAGUAAGAAGAAAGAGUGACAAUCCUAAAUGCCUUGUAGCCUCAUGCUUAUAAGUCUGGUGCACUACACACCCAUAAACAAGACUCUACUAGACACGGCUCGUAGACUCUCUAGGACAGAACUACUCUGAUACCACUUUUGUCACGACCUAAACCUAUGGGCCGCAACGAGCAAUCGGUACCUUACUUAACCGAGUACGAAUAUAACAUAUUUUUCUUAUUGUACUUUCGUUGGCAAAUGGGCCAACCGGCCGUCAUGGGCUAACCAGAAUAAACAUAGAGGAAUACUCAAUAUAGGAUGACCCCAACCUGAUAUAAAAACUUAUACAUGUGAUAUACGGGCCUAUAAGGCCAACAUGAUCAUUUGUAAACUCAAAACAUAGGCCGGCAAGGCCAU